RNAcentral lists this non-coding RNA (30 nucleotides) under Rattus norvegicus (Norway rat). The record is from RNAcentral. Lineage: Eukaryota; Metazoa; Chordata; Mammalia; Rodentia; Muridae.
UAGUUGAAAAUCACAUCUGUAAUACUUCUA